This 70-nucleotide transfer RNA is filed under the name Pediococcus pentosaceus. RNAcentral describes it as "tRNA-OTHER". It matches the Rfam family "tRNA". Rfam says of the family: Transfer RNA (tRNA) molecules are approximately 80 nucleotides in length. Their secondary structure includes four short double-helical elements and three loops (D, anti-codon, and T loops). Lineage: Bacteria; Bacillati; Bacillota; Bacilli; Lactobacillales; Lactobacillaceae. The record is from RNAcentral. RNAcentral also lists the same sequence under 1 other name.
GUGAACAUAGCUCAAUGGAAGAGCAACCGGCGGAAAACGGCAAGUACAGGUUCGACUCCUGUUGUUCACA